CCAACUUCUGAAUGUUGACCUCGGAUCAGGUAGGAAUACCCGCUGAACUUAAGCAUAUCAAUAAGCGGAGGAA
Molecule: ribosomal RNA, 73 nt
Filed under: Fusarium sp. CNRfus43RA
Lineage: Eukaryota; Fungi; Ascomycota; Sordariomycetes; Hypocreales; Nectriaceae
Description: partial 28S ribosomal RNA
Rfam family: Eukaryotic large subunit ribosomal RNA (bases 16-73)
Source: RNAcentral